This 579-nucleotide ribosomal RNA is filed under the name Tolypothrix sp. LCRNK29. Its description in RNAcentral is "partial 16S ribosomal RNA". It matches the Rfam family "Bacterial small subunit ribosomal RNA", at positions 134 to 747 of the family's 1533-position model. Lineage: Bacteria; Bacillati; Cyanobacteriota; Cyanophyceae; Nostocales; Tolypothrichaceae. The record is from RNAcentral.
AGCCCGGGGAAGACAAGUNNGGAAACGGCUGCUAAUACCGGAUGUGCCGAAAGGUGAAAGAUUUAUUGCCUAGAGAUGAGCUCGCGUCUGAUUAGCUAGUAGGUGUGGUAAGAGCGCACCUAGGCGACGAUCAGUAGCUGGUCUGAGAGGACGAUCAGCCACACUGGGACUGAGACACGGCCCAGACUCCUACGGGAGGCAGCAGUGGGGAAUUUUCCGCAAUGGGCGAAAGCCUGACGGAGCAAUACCGCGUGAGGGAGGAAGGCUCUUGGGUUGUAAACCUCUUUUCUCAAGGAAGAAUACAAUGACGGUACUUGAGGAAUAAGCAUCGGCUAACUCCGUGCCAGCAGCCGCGGUAAUACGGAGGAUGCAAGCGUUAUCCGGAAUGAUUGGGCGUAAAGCGUCCGCAAGGUGGCAAUGUAAGUCUGCUGUUAAAGAGUGAGGCUCACCCUCAUAAAAGCAGUGGAAACUACAUAGCUAGAGUACGUUCGGGGCNGAGGGAAUUCNGGNGUANNGGUAAANGCGUNGAGAUCAGGAAGAACNCCGGUNCGAAAGCGNNNUGCUAGGCUGUACUGACCU